UUACUACAAUAUUUAUGAAAUUUAAAAUUUAGUUUGCUGGAGAAAUUCAAUUUUUCUUUUGAGUAUAUUAAUCCAAUAAUUAAAUUUAAAUGAUUUAUUUCUUUACAGAAGAGAAAGACAGAAAGACAAGACAAAAUUCCCGUGUUAGAACAUAUGGACUGUAUUAUUGGAAGAAUCGAUGCAAACGUCGAUUAAAAAAGAACAACUGUAAGAGAAGAGCGUGGUUAAAUGAAUAGAAGAUAAAGAGGAUUUUCUACCUCCUUAGUGAGAAUAGAGAGCGAGCCGGCGUUAAGAGAUGAAAGGUGGAAGAGGCGCUCUUAAUUGAAGUUAUACGUUCUAUUUUAUUGAGUAAUUAAUUUUCCAGUUGGUUCACACUCGCCGUUGCCACGGUAACCGUGUCACGUGACUG
Molecule: long non-coding RNA, 409 nt
Organism: Centruroides sculpturatus (bark scorpion)
Lineage: Eukaryota; Metazoa; Arthropoda; Arachnida; Scorpiones; Buthidae
Exons: 3
Source: RefSeq, a predicted model, not a curated record